ACCCUCCCUUGGAGGCUUCCCUGUGCCCAGCGUAUUCUUUUCUUUUUAUAGUCACGGCUUCACGUCACGCCGUUUUGCUUUGCUCCCCCCAAGAGCAUAACCACAGCUAAGCAGCCGCUUCUAAGAUUGUUAAACUCUGCGCAACAGCUACAAAAAUCCCCAGCAGUUUUUCCAGCCGGAUGCCCGACCGCCUCUACAACUCCAUGGCAAUAACAGUCCGCAUCGACUCCCAGAAUGAGCCGGGGCUGCCCGGACACCCACACUUCUGCCUGGCACCAUGGGCAAGGUCCCAGUUUAACUGAACCGAAAAGAGGACGAAGCGCACAGUGCAGGCUCUUCAGAGCAAAUCAAGGAUGAGAACUAAAGAGAAAUUGUCUCAAGUGUUCUGGGAGACAGUCUUUAAAGAAACAAGCAAAAAUGUCUUCUUAAAUCUGUUAAGAACUUGUGGAUACUUUCAGAGGUCUUGUAAUGAUGAAAAAAAAAAAGUUCCCUAAGGGACUUGGCAGGAGAAAAUACAUGUUCAUAGUCAAGGAACUAAACAAUUUAACAAAUUGGAGUGGUGUAAGGAAGCUUUUACCUCAGCUCAUCAAAGUGGUGGUAAAUUGACUGAGUUUUUACUAUUUUACAUAUUCUAUGCCUUACAUGACACUAAUUAGCUAUUUCAGUGUGCAGAGGUCCACCCAAGAAAUCACCAGCAAAGCAGACCCUAAUUGGCAUUCUUGUUCACAAUCUAUGUAGAAAGCAUCUAUUUUCUAGCACUAUGUGGACACAGAAGUCACACACAACUAUACCGCUGAUUACACUGCAACAUUUAAAGCAAAAAUGAUGGUGAAGCACAGACAGACUUUGACUGCCCCUGCUGAUGCAACUCAGCGCUUAUCUUCUCUUUUCUGAACCAUUGUCUUCUAGCCUUGUUCUAAAAUAAGAAAGAAAUUAUCAUUGAAUAAAUGUAUUUUUCCUUUCUCCAUUUGGAAUGUUAUUCCAAGAGUCAAAAAGCUGUUUGUUUGUUUGUUUGUUUUUAUUUAAAGACAAUUCCUCACAAGAAUAAGCAAUAGAGCAGUUUGAAGGCACCUUCUUGGUAUUUUGGCCACACACCCUAAAGCUUAAGAAACACAAAAGAAUACUUAAUUUUCCAUCUAUUUAGGGAAACCUGUAGUUUUGCCUCAGGAACAAAACUGCUUUGUGUCAUACCUGAAACAUCCAAAUUGGAAGACCUUCUAUCUGCUAGUUUUCCUAACAGAUUUACAUCUUUGAAAAGGCUUCUGAUGAAGAAUUUUCUUUUCCUAGACCAGCAAUUGAAUUGUUAACAGUGCAUUUGAUCAACUAGAAAUAGAUUAUAAAAAAAAUACACUUGAAUGGAAGCAGCUGAUGGACAUUCUUUUCCUGCUCAAAUCCAUUUUCUGUGUGCAUCCCCUAAAAAUGGACUACUUGAAAGUACUGGAAUAUAAAUUGCUCGUUGACAAAAUUUCUGCCAUGCCAUAAAGACUUGUCUUGCAAGAACUGAUAUUUCAAUCAGGUUUUAAGAGAGAUAUCAUGAUAUCUUAUAUCUACCACUAACUCCAACAAUACUGUGAAGAUCGGAGUAAUAAAUAGUUCCAGCUUCCAAGAGUAAGAAAUCUGGAAAACUUUGUAAGGAUAAGAAGAGAGACUGAAGAGCACUUGGAGGGACAGGGGGAAAAGGAGGAGCCUGCAAUCAUAUCGCCCAGAACAAGGACGGGCAUAAGGGCAGAACAGCAACGGGGUGCACAAAGUGGAUGCUUGAAGCUGAGAAUGACACGUGUAAUUAAACCAAGCAAAUAUUUUCAGAACAAGAUCUAGCUAAGUUUUUAUUUUUUAUUUUUUAAUCUGCAUGGGCAUUUAGCUUCUCAAGUAAAUUUAUUUUGCCUAAGGUCUGCAAGCUCUGCUAUUAAAAAGUCUGUGCAACAAGCAGUGAAAAUUUUAUUCAGACUAAAGGGCUUGAUAGGACCAUUCAAACAUUUCACACUUUAAUAAAUUGAAAGAGGAAAUAAAGUCACAAGCAUCCACUUCAAUUUAUAUGUGUGGUCCUUCUGCGUUUGCUAUGCCAAUGAGAACAGGUGGUAUCUUGAAGGAAAUUCUUACUAUUACACUGUUGCUCAUGACAAAAUGUUUUGGGUACUCUCCUAUGAACAGGACAGGAUGAAAUUCAGCUGUUCCAGUCAAUCCAUAGGAAUGUCAAUUGUCACUCAUGAGAUAGGACAGUUCAAAGUCUGCCCUGUCUUACAGGGGUAGGGUAUAUCGAGUAUAGAAAUCCCUGUGCAGAAGACUGCAUUGUUACAGUGCAGCAAUGCAUUCAUUAAUUCUUCUUGCUGAGUUAUCAGAGUUCUAGAUCAUCUAGAUGUACCUAAGGAUACUUACAGAAGCUUUUUUUUUUUUCCUUAGUAGAGUGUUUUAAUAGAAAUUACUUUCAAAACAUACGAGUGCUCAUGUGUAUACAAAUUUCUAGGCAACGUACCUAAUUGUUUGCAGAAUUUGAAUUACUAUUCAAAUUUUUUAAACUGUUAGAGAAAUGCUCUUAAUUUCAUAUGAAAUUCAAUCUGUUUCUGCAAAUGGAUAUAUAUCAUCUAUAUUCCACAGGCAGGAGAAAAUAGUUUUUUUCAUCCCAGGUUAAUGUCACUGUUUUAACCCACCUCUUCCUUGCUUUUAACUGAAGGUACAAGGAGUUUUAGGAGAACAUUCCAGUCCUGGGUUCAUGCUCCUGGAACAUGGUCUGCACUGAAAACCCUGCUUUUCUUUCACAAAUAUUUACCUGGAAAGUUGAAACUCUACCAUUCACUGCACAUCCGAUAUAUACCAGACAAAAGCAUGUCAGAUUUAGCAUUAUAAAAGCUGAUUUAUGAAAACAAGAACCUUUAUUGCACCAUGUUAUUACACUUGUAAUGCCUAUAUGAAACCCCAGUUGGAUAUUACAUUUAUUAAUGAUAAUGAACCAUCCUAACAUUGGUUAAGUACUAAAUAGAGGAGUAUUUUCUUGCCAGUGAUGAUGUUUACACUAGAAUUAAAAUGACAAAGGGCAAUUUACUGAAACUUUUUUUUUUUUUUGUUAUAGUUUGCAAACUAGAGAAACUCCAGAGAUCUGGCAAAUAAAAAUGUAAAGGUCAGUUUCUGUAAAUGAAAGCAAAAUAUACAUAGAAGGAAGGAAUUUUCGUGAAAAGCUGGGCCGCUGUGGACUAAUUGCUCAUUACUCUAAUCAUCCCUUAGGAAACAAGUAGUUAAUCCUAUUUCAAGACAUACAGCAGAGCUGAAAUGUAGGCAGAAUGAACAAGGCUUGAAUGUACUACAAAGGACCAUAUAUCAAAGGUACAAAGGACUCACUUCAUAGCUAAGGCAGGAACUGUAAAAAUCCAGUCUGGUUGAAGAAGACUGGGGAGACUUUCCCAGAUUUGCCUGUAGAGAGCUAAAAAUGUAUCUCCAACAGCAUCUUUAAGUGUGCUGCAAGAAAUCUCUAAUCUAUCAGUAAGAAUAAAUAUAACAUCACUCAUUCCAGCCCUAUCAAUGUACUACUUCUCUCUCAAGGGAGCCCCCUCACAAAGCGAGAUGGAAUAAGAUCAUGCUCUUUGGCCCUGGCAUCAGAAGCAGCGUGGUGAAAAAAGAUCUCCCCGGCUUUCGUUUGUUUCAAUUUUUAGCCAUAAAGUUGUACAGAGUUUUUUCAAGCAGAACAAAUGCAUGAUUUCUAUCCACAUGCUAUAUAAGUAGCAUGUGUUUUACAUAAAAGAUUUAAAGGAUCUGGUCUGGCAAUGUAAAGGUUUGCGGGGUCUUUUCAUUCACUAAAAGCAGGUACCAGAUCAUAUUAUCACUAACACAUAGGAACUGAACAUGACCACUAGAAGUGGCCAAUUUUUAAUGCACUAUAAUAUGAACAACAUAAUUUUCAAUUUUAAACUUCUUAUGUUCUUUUCUGGGUUGGAUUGCUCAGGUAUGGCCAAAUGCAGGCUGCAUCUCACUAGGAUUUUGGCUCAGAAAAACUGAAACAUCACCAUUGCAAGGGAUAGGAUCAAGGCAUGGCAUGCCUGUCAAAUACAGGAAUUAUUUUCCACAGUGAGUUUUCUGUUUGCUCUUUAUCCUCAAUUUUUUUGUGAUGGUACAUUUUUUUUAUUCUUUUUAUUUUUUUACAAAAAACGACAAUUUUCUACUAGACUGAAACAUUACAUAACACACAGAAAUGUUAAUUUAUUUUUUUUCCCAAUACCAUAAUACCUCCUGAAAGAUGUCAUGUUGUCUAAGGUGACUUGACCAGUGACACAGCAAUCUGCAUGGUAUGGAAUGAUCUAUAUACAAUUAUUUUGGAAAUGUGGAUAUAGGGUAUUUAACACAUUUUUAGAGUAUGUAGAAUAUGAAAAUAUUUUGUUAUGGUAGUCUCCAAAGACCUUUUACUGUCACACAGAGUAAUGUCAUUCUUUAAGCUUGUAUCACAUAAGCAUUACCGGAAGAAGAUAAAUCAUAAUAAAAACUGCCCAGCUGAAA
This is a long non-coding RNA of Columba livia (rock pigeon), 4482 nucleotides long. RefSeq lists it as uncharacterized. Lineage: Eukaryota; Metazoa; Chordata; Aves; Columbiformes; Columbidae. The record is from RefSeq and is a predicted model, not a curated record. The transcript has 2 exons.